AUUAAAACUAGCAGCAAGCUAUCUGUGAAAAUGCUUUCUGAUAUGUGGAUUUGUCUCACAAACUUAAAUCUUUGUUUUGAUUCAGCAGGUUGGCAACACUCUUUUUGUACAACCUAGGAGGGGACCUUUUGGAGCUCACUGAGGCCUAUAGUGAAAAAAUGAAUAUUUCAAGAUAAAAACUAGAAACAAGCAAUAUUUGAAAAUGCUUGGCAGUGGGUGGAUUCAUCUCACAGAGGCAAACCUUUAUAUUGAUUCAGCACGUUGGAAACACUCUUUUUAAAGAGUCUACAAGAGGACAUUUUGGAGCCCACUGACAAGUAUAUUGAAAAACUGAAUAUGCCACGAUACAUACUAGCAACAACCUAUUAGUGAAAAUGCUUUGUGAUGUGUGGAUUCAUCUCAUAAAGUUAAACCUUUAUUAUCAUUCAGUAGGUUAAGAACACUCUUUAUGUAGCAUAUAAAAAAAAGACAUUUUUGUGAACAUUGAGGACUAAAGUAAAACACCAAAUAUUUCACAGUAAAAACUAAAAACUGUCUGUCUGUGAAAAUGCUUUGUGAAGAGUGGAUUUAUCUCACAGAGUUAAACCUUUUUUUUGAUUCAACAGGAUGAAAACACCUUUUUUGUAGAAUCUAUGAAGGGACAUUUUGGAGCCUAUUGUGGACUAUACUGAAAAACCUAAUAUCCCAGCAUAAAAACUAGAAAGAAGCUAUCUUUGCAAAUGGUUUGCUAUGUGUGGAUUCAUCUUACAGAGAUAAACCUUUUUGUAUCAGUUAAACCUUUUUUUUAUUCCCUGCAAGUUGGAGUCCUCCCACCUGACCACGGGGCCAUGUUGUGGACAGCUUGUGCAAUGAAGGGAAUGCAAGAAUGGAGUUGGAAGCACUUCCUGUGUCAUCUGUCUGCACCUUUUUUUGCAGAUGAAGGUGUAGGACCCCAUCCACACCUCAGCAGACUGGAUUUCGUGGUUUAUUCCUGGGGCUCCACUUGAUGUUUCUUCAGGCUGGCUCACCACUGCCCACUCCUAGGAUUGUGGGAAUAUCCCAUAGAGCCCUCAGAGUAGACAGGUAAGAGUUCAAUGCUGACACAUAUCCACAGAGGACUCCUUCUCCGCCAAGAUGAAGGGACUUGUCACCAGGCAAUGGUGGCUUCACUGUGACGUGAGACGCUGCUCACCACUGGUGCCUGGUGGCCUGACGGUCACAUGUGCAUUCACCAAGCAGGCUCAGGCACCUAGCUGUCAGGGCUUAAGCCUGGCAAAGCUCAGGAAAAUGGUACAGCCAGAGCUGGCCUAGUCUCCAGAAAAAGGCUACCUGCAGCAACCCACUGCAGCAUGCUAAUAGUCUCGAACAUAGGGCCUUCAUGAGCCAUCUUCGUGGUAGGGUCCCACAGGAGAAGGAGGAGUUUGAAGACUGUGAGGUGGGCUCUGGAGACUGCUCUUCUGACUCCAUUCCCAAAAGAGGCUGCGUGCAUGAAUUGGGUCUCCUGGGGAUGGGAAUAAAGUCUGGUGAGUUGUUAAGAGGUCUCUGGGUGAUGGAAUGAUAUCUGAGAUCCAAGAGGGAGGUGUCAGUGGAAGAUGGCCAGGCCCUUGAACCCCCUGCCUUCCUUUAUCCCGGGCCUCACAGGGGCUCCUGCUUCUCAGCACGGCUCUCUGGGAAAGGCAGGAACCAUGACAAAGGCAAGUACAAGGUGGAGCAGUGAACUCACACCUAAAACAGGCCUCUCACAGGUGCACAUGAGGUUGAGAGUGUCUCAGAGGCUGUCCGGG
Molecule: long non-coding RNA, 1763 nt
Filed under: Homo sapiens (human)
Lineage: Eukaryota; Metazoa; Chordata; Mammalia; Primates; Hominidae
Description: HSALNT0187676
Source: RNAcentral